UCCACAAAAUCAUGCAAAUGAAGAGGCUC
Molecule: non-coding RNA, 29 nt
Filed under: Rattus norvegicus (Norway rat)
Lineage: Eukaryota; Metazoa; Chordata; Mammalia; Rodentia; Muridae
Source: RNAcentral